Molecule: ribosomal RNA, 262 nt
Filed under: uncultured archaeon
Lineage: Archaea
Description: partial 16S ribosomal RNA
Rfam family: Archaeal small subunit ribosomal RNA
Source: RNAcentral
UAGCCGUAAACGAUACUCGCUAGGUGUCGGCCACGGUGCGACCGUUGUCGGUGCCGUAGGGAAGCCGUGAAGCGAGCCACCUGGGAAGUACGGCCGCAAGGCUGAAACUUAAAGGAAUUGGCGGGGGAGCACAACAACGGGUGGGGCUUGCGGUUUAAUUGGAUUCAACGCCGGAAAUCUUACCGGGACCGACAGCAACAUGAAGGCCAAGCUGAAGACUUUGCCGGAUUAGCUGAGAGGAGGUGCAUGGCGUAGUCCGUGU